GUGUCAGCAGCCGCGGUAAUACAGAGGGGGCAAGCGUUGUUCGGAAUUACUGGGCGUAAAGGGCGCGUAGGCGGCCUUCUAAGUCGAACGUGAAAUCCCCGGGCUCAACCCGGGAACUGCGUCCGAUACUGGAAGGCUUGAAUCCGGGAGAGGGAUGCGGAAUUCCAGGUGUAGCGGUGAAAUGCGUAGAUAUCUGGAGGAACACCGGUGGCGAAGGCGGCAUCCUGGACCGGCAUUGACGCUGAGGCGCGAAAGCCAGGGGAGCAAACGGGAUUAGAUACCCCGGUAGUCCUGGCCCUAAACGAUGAAUGCUUGGUGUGGCGGGUAUCGAUCCCUGCCGUGCCGAAGCUAACGCAUUAAGCAUUCCGCCUGGGGAGUACGGUCGCAAGGCUGAA
Molecule: ribosomal RNA, 395 nt
Filed under: uncultured bacterium
Lineage: Bacteria
Description: bacterial SSU rRNA
Rfam family: Bacterial small subunit ribosomal RNA
Source: RNAcentral